GGGGAAUAUUGGACAAUGGGGGAAACCCUGAUCCAGCCAUGCCGCGUGUGUGAAGAAGGCCUUAGGGUUGUAAAGCACUUUCAGUGGGGAGAAAGGUUGUUCACUUAAUACGUGAGCAAAUUGAUGUUACCCACAGAAGAAGCACCGGCUAACUCCGUGCCAGCAGCCGCGGUAAUACGGAGGGUGCAAGCGUUAAUCGGAAUUACUGGGCGUAAAGCGCACGUAGGCGGUUUGAUAAGCCAGCCGUGAAAGCCCCGGGCUCAACCUGGGAAUUGCGGUUGGAACUGUCAAGCUGGAGUACAGUAGAGGGGUGUGGAAUUUCAGGUGUAGCGGUGAAAUGCGUAGAUAUCUGAAGGAACAUCAGUGGCGAAGGCGACACCCUGGACUGAUACUGACGCUGAGGUGCGAAAGCGUGGGGAGCAAAC
This 425-nucleotide ribosomal RNA is filed under the name uncultured bacterium. RNAcentral describes it as "bacterial SSU rRNA". It matches the Rfam family "Bacterial small subunit ribosomal RNA", at positions 356 to 773 of the family's 1533-position model. The record is from RNAcentral.